Long non-coding RNA from Oreochromis aureus, 702 nucleotides. The record is from Ensembl. NCBI's taxonomy places the organism in Eukaryota, Metazoa, Chordata, Actinopteri, Cichliformes, Cichlidae.
GGGGUCCUCGGUCGGAGGACCUCGCGAGGAGGUAAACAAGCGAUGUUGGGUUAAUUAACGAUCAUCCAUCGAUUUUAGCGCAAUUAAGUUUGCGUGUGAUCGCGAUGGCAGAAGAUAAUGAGCUGGAAAAGCGUGCAGUGGAGGAGCUCCUCAGGGAGACUGACAGAGCCCGCGUGAGAGCAGAGACCAUGGGCCCUGCAGGAUGUGAAUGACCAAAACUCCAAUAUAUCCCAUUUAAAACUUUACUUUAGAUCCUGACACUUGCAGUGGGCGUUACAUUGAUUUGGUUGCUGCUUUUAACAAAGCUCCAAUUUGUUUUUCACCUCCUAAGUUAUGAGUAUUAAAAAAUGCUGGAGAAAUACUGUAGACUAUAAAAGAGUGUACUCAGAGGACAUGUACCUCAUUUUGUAGGAGGAAGCAUGGAUUCAUUACAUACAAUAAAGUUAUUGUACUAAAAAAAGAAUAUCUGAUACUGAUAGGAGGACAGAUGGAAGGCACUGAUUGAUUUUUCAUUGAAUGUGUUUAGAUUUAUGGUCCCAUGCUGCUCUGAGCGAUUUAGAUCAAUGGGAAAGGCGUCAGUAAAACGGGGUUGGAAGCUGUGGUCGACUGCACACAUUUGAUAAAAGUGAUGGUCGUGCAUCAGUGCACCCAGUAAAAGUAAAGAGCAACUCCUUCUCAGAUGAAUGAGGAUGUCAGUGCAGG